RNAcentral lists this ribosomal RNA (672 nucleotides) under uncultured bacterium. Its description in RNAcentral is "bacterial SSU rRNA". The record is from RNAcentral.
GAUAUGCCUGCUGCUGACUUGCAUGUCAGUCGGACGGAUGCUUGAUCUUGCUUGAUUGAUUGAUAGUGAGUGACGAACGAGUGAUACAUACAUCCGAGCCUUGCCUGGAGGGAGAACUAAUUAAAAGAAUAAUUAAUACAUACCACAACCUACCGGUGGGUGAGAGUGACCGACCGGCCGCCCUCUUGCUAAACGACCGAUCUAUGAUUAAUUAGCUGGUGGGGGGGGUGACCGCCCACCAAACCAACAAUCACUGGCUGGACAGAAAGAACAAUCACCCUCGCUGUGACUCACACACCACACUCCCUCCUACGGCAGGCAUGAGUGAUUAAUUUUGAAGAAUGAAAGAAUGCCUCAUCCAUGCCUGGCGUGUGAGUAAAGACGGCCUUCUGUAUAUAACUUUCUUUCGUCCAGAAAUAGAUGGCUGUGGUACAUGCCUGCGGUCAGUGACCCGACCGAAUAAAGACCGACCAACUAACUACCUGCCACCGCCCGCGUACAUACGGACCGACCAUUCAUCAAACUUACUUACUGUAAAUAAAGCGCGCGCAGGUGGUUGAGAACGAUCUAAAAUCACCCCCCUAAACUAACGAGUUGAUUUAUUCACUGUCGCCCAGAUUGUUUAGACAAAGGGGGAUGAAAUCACGUGGAGCUUCCCCUAAAUUUCACUCC